Maylandia zebra (zebra mbuna) is the source of this 1356-nucleotide non-coding RNA. The record is from RefSeq and is a predicted model, not a curated record. NCBI's taxonomy places the organism in Eukaryota, Metazoa, Chordata, Actinopteri, Cichliformes, Cichlidae.
UGUGAAAUGAACUUACCUACUGUAACACUUCAGUAAAGGUACGAAUAGGGUCGCCAUUUAAACGUUACGAACGGGAGCGGGCUGGAGUCAUUCAGAGCGUGUGUGAACAUUUGCAGCCUAUUGUGACAAACAAAUCCACGUACACGAGCCCUCACCACAUCAUAUUUUAAGAGGGCGAUGGGACUAUCAAAGGGGCCAUCAUCAUGGUCAGUGGAAGAAGUGCUGGAGUGGAUUCAGGAACAGUAUCCGACUAAGAUGACCCUACUCCACAAAGCCGUAAUCAAACAUGACAUAACAGGCCGUGUGUUGCUGAGACUAAAGGACUAUCAGCUGAAGCUUCUUGGGGUGGAAGAUGAGAAGCAGCAGCAGGAAAUUUUGCAGGACCUCCUUCUUCUCAAAGUUCAGGAAGAAAUCAGUGAACUUAGUGACAUCUGCUCUGAGUUUCUUUCUCCAUGAAUCACAGUGAAAAUCUUCAGAAAGCCAAAGAAAAAAACAGAACCAUGGCUGACUUUUUGUUAUUUUUUUGAAUUUCCCAACCAUCCAUUCAUCCACAUGAAGGAGACAGAAAGGUGGAAUUGAUGGAAAUAACAAGAAGUGAAUAGAAAGAAGGAUCGAUGAGGAAUGAAGAGAGAAGGAAACCCAUUUCCGGUGUGAAAUCUGACCUGUGCAGAUGGAUGAGAUUAGUUUCUGUCUGAGUGGCUUUUUCUGAUCCUACUGUCCAUUAAUCUCCGUGUUUUUUCUGUCCCUGCACUGGGUUUGCCAACCAUGGCAUUAUAAAACAUACGAACAAAACUUUUUAUGGACCAAAUAUGCAGUCGCAGUAUGUGUAGAGGUUUAGGAUAUAAGCCAAUCAGCAGAUCAUUUAAAGCCAAAAUGAAACAAUCUGCUCACCGAUUUUCCCAGGGGAUGCAUUCUGCUGAGUUUGUUGGUUUAAAUUUGUGUUUUUGACUGCAGUUUUUCAGGAAAUUUAAGUGGAUUUAUGAGAGAUUUUUUACUUACCUUCUUGACCCCGUGACAAAUAUCAAAUCCUACACACAUUUUCAUCCUACUAGUAUUGUAAUAGGUAGCUUGCUCUCAAAAUAGGAACAGAUUGUAUUUUAAUAACAGAUACUGCUUAUCCUCAGUAUUUCCUGGGUGGAAAGGUUAAACAUUUCACACGUCUGAUCAGAAGAGCUGAGUGAAAGCUGUAAAACUUUGUCAUGUUGUUUGCUUUUCUCUCUGACUAAAAUUGCUUUUCACAAACCAGAUGUUGGUGUGCUGCUGUUUCCUUUCAAGUUCAUUGUUUUUUGAAGUGAACUGUCAGUUUGUCUGGAUUUGAUUGUGAUGAUGCAGUUUCAUUAAAUCUGUUUCAAGCGA